This 301-nucleotide ribosomal RNA is filed under the name uncultured bacterium. RNAcentral's name for it is "partial 16S ribosomal RNA". It matches the Rfam family "Bacterial small subunit ribosomal RNA", at positions 509 to 807 of the family's 1533-position model. The record is from RNAcentral.
CAGUCGCCGCGGUAAUACGAAGGGUGCAAGCGUUAAUCGGAAUUACUGGGCGUAAAGCGCGCGUAGGUGGUUCGCCAAGUUGGAUGUGAAAUCCCCGGGCUCAACCUGGGAACUGCAUCCAAAACUGGCGAGCUAGAGUAUGGUAGAGGGUGGUGGAAUUUCCUGUGUAGCGGUGAAAUGCGUAGAUAUAGGAAGGAACAUCAGUGGCGAAGGCAGCCAUCUGGCCUAAUACUGACGCUGAGGUACGAAAGCAUGGGGAGCAAACAGGAUUAGAUACCCCAGUAGUCCCUGUCUCUUAUAC